Molecule: long non-coding RNA, 685 nt
Filed under: Rattus norvegicus (Norway rat)
Lineage: Eukaryota; Metazoa; Chordata; Mammalia; Rodentia; Muridae
Description: long non-coding RNA NONRATT028701
Source: RNAcentral
AUGGAGUCCCCGGUCUCCACCCCAGCGGUGCUGCCGCUGCACCUGUUAGUGCCGGUGGUCAAUAACGACAUCUCAUCUCCCUGUGAGCAGAUCAUGGUCCGUACCCGAUCAGUUGGAGUCAACACAUGCGAUGUGGCUCUAGCCACAGAGCCUGAGUGCUUAGGCCCCUGUGAGCCUGGAACCAGUGUCAACCUUGAAGGCAUCGUGUGGCAGGAAACAGAAGAUGGUAAGUCCAUCAUACCUUCUCAGUUGCCUCUGCAGAAGAGUCCCUAGAGGAUUAGUGGUAUAAAUAUUGCCACCAAAAGAUGGGAACGGGCUGGAGAGAUGACUCAGCGGUUAAGAGCAUUAACUGCUCUUCCAGAGGUCAUGAGUUCAAUUCCCAGCCACCACAUGGUGGCUCACAACCAUCUGUAAUGAGAUCUGGUGCCCUCUUCUGGCCCGCAGUCACAUAUGCAGGCAGAAUGCUGUACAUAAAAUAAAUAAAUAAUCUUUAAAAAAAGAUGGGAACAAUGCCAAGCACCUGUAAGAGUAUUCAUUGUCCCCUCUUCUUGGCCAUGCCCACACAAAGGGUGGAAAGAGAGGUGACACACUUUUUAAUAUUCUUACCCUUUCUAGAGAUGUUUGCUGUAGUUCUGGAAAUUGUAAGUAGGCUCAUGCUCCAGCCUUGUAUACAUCCUUCCUUCUA